GCGGGAAAUCUUACCGGGUCCGGACACACUGAGGAUUGACAGGUAACGUUAUACACACAUAUAUUUACUCUCGGGUAUUUAUACUGCUGUGUAUAUAUAAAAUAUGCUAGUCCUUUCAUGAUUAUGUGAUAGGUGGUGCAUGGCCGUUCUUAGUUCGUGGAGUGAUCUGUCUGCUUAAUUGCGUUUCACUAAGGAUCUAUAUUCAUAUUACGCAUAGCAUUUUGACCCCUUUAUGCUUCGGUAUAAAGCUGCGCGUCAAACCUUGCUAUCUGCGUAUAUUAGAUCCUGAAAGCAACGAACGUGACCGCAACCUCUUGUUGCCUUUAACUAGGUUUUGCUUACGUAUAGCUUCGGCUUUACGCUUUGCAUCUAAAAAGGCUGAUUUUCUAAACUAGAGGGACCGCUGUUACUUUCUUAAACCAGAGGAAGGUUGCGGCAAUAACAG
Molecule: ribosomal RNA, 445 nt
Filed under: Nonionella sp. T1
Lineage: Eukaryota; Foraminifera; Rotaliida; Nonionidae
Description: SSU rRNA
Rfam family: Eukaryotic small subunit ribosomal RNA
Source: RNAcentral